GAGUUUGAUCAUGGCUCAGUGACGAACGUUGGCGGUGCGCUUAAUGCAUGCAAGUCGAGGGAGAACCAUUCGCUCCGUAAGGUCCGGAUGGGGAAACCGGCGAACGGGUGCGUAACACGUGAGGAACCUGCCCCGAAGAUCGGGAUAGCCCGGGGAAACCCGGAUUAAUACCGAAUAUCCUGUCCGGACCGCAUGGUCUGGUUAGGAAAUGGUCCGCCGCUUCGGGAUGGCCUCGCGGCCUAUCAGCUAGUUGGUGAGGUAACGGCUUACCAAGGCAAAGACGGGUAGCUGGUCUGAGAGGACGAUCAGCCACACUGGGACUGAGACACGGCCCAGACUCCUACGGGAGGCAGCAGCAGGGAAUAUUGCACAAUGGGCGAAAGCCUGAUGCAGCGACACCGCGUGCGGGAUGAAGGCCUUCGGGUUGUAAACCGCUUUCAGGAGGGACGAAAUUGACGGUACCUCCAGAAGAAGGCCCGGCCAACUACGUGCCAGCAGCCGCGGUAAUACGUAGGGGCCAAACGUUGUCCGGAUUUAUUGGGCGUAAAGGGCUCGUAGGCGGUUCAACAGUCCGGUCGUGAAAUGCCGGGGCUCAACCCCGGAACGCCGGUCGAAACUGUUGUGACUAGGGUCCGGUAGAGGUGAGUGGAAUUCUCGGUGUAGCGGUGGAAUGCGCAGAUAUCGAGAGGACACCAGUUGCGAAGGCGGCUCACUGGGCCGGUACCGACGCUAAGGAGCGAAAGCAUGGGGAGCAAACAGGAUUAGAUACCCUGGUAGUCCAUGCCGUAAACUGUGAACACUAGGUGUGGCGGAUCUAUUGAUGUCUGCCGUACCGUAGCUAACGCGUUAAGUGUUCCGCCUGGGGAGUACGGCCGCAAGGCUAAAACUCAAAGGAAUUGACGGG
RNAcentral lists this ribosomal RNA (904 nucleotides) under uncultured bacterium. Its description in RNAcentral is "bacterial SSU rRNA". It matches the Rfam family "Bacterial small subunit ribosomal RNA", at positions 9 to 917 of the family's 1533-position model. The record is from RNAcentral.